GGUUGCGAUCAUACCAGCACUAAUGCACCGGAUCCCAUCAGAACUCCGCAGUUAAGCGUGCUUGGGCGAGAGUAAUACUAGGAUGGGUGACCUCCUGGGAAGUCCUCGUGUUGCAACCC
This 119-nucleotide ribosomal RNA is filed under the name Helianthus annuus (common sunflower). The record is from RNAcentral. Lineage: Eukaryota; Viridiplantae; Streptophyta; Magnoliopsida; Asterales; Asteraceae.